AUUGAACGCUGGCUGCCCGCUUAACUCAUGCCAGUCAAGCGGAUACCACACGGAAUCUUGCUCCCUGAGUGACAAACGCCGGACGGGAGACUAAUGUCUGGUAAACUGCCUGAUGGAUGGCGAUAACUACUGUAAACUGUAACAUAAUACCUCAUACCCUCGCGUGACCCUACACGGGGACCUUCUGGCCUCUUGCCAUCAUAUGUGCCCUUAUGGGAUUAACUACUAGGUGGCGUAAUGGCUCUCCUAGGCGACCAUCCCUAGCUGGUCUGAAAGGAUGACCACUCCACUCUGGAACUGAGACCACGGUCUCUGACUCCUACGGGUAGAGCACAGCCGUGGAAUAUUGCGCCUUGGACUCCCGCCUGAUGCAACCCUGCCUCGUGUGUGACUAAGGACUUUCGGGAUGUAAAGCAGUUUCUUCGAGGUAGCGAACGUGGUGAACUUAUGACUCCUCCUCAUUGUGACGUUACUCGCACAAUAAUCUCCGGCUUAACUCCGUGCCACCAUACCUCCCUAAUACGGAGAGGUGCACAGCGUUAACUCCGAAUUACUGGGCGUAAAGCGCACGCAGGCGGUUUGUUAGUCAGAUGUGAAAUCCCCGGGCUCAAUCUGGGAACUGCAUUUGAAACUGGCAAGCUAGAGUCUCGUAGAGGGGGGUAGAAUUCCAGGUGUAGCGGUGAAAUGCGUAGAGAUCUGGAGGAAUACCGGUGGCGAAGGCGGCCCCCUGGGCGAAGACUGACGCUCAGGUGCGAAAGCGUGGGGAGCAAACAGGAUUAGAUACCCUGGUAGUCCACGCUGUAAACGAUGUCGAUUUGGAGGUUGUGCCCUUGAGGCGUGGCUUCCGGAGCUAACGCGUUAAAUCGACCGCCUGGGGAGUACGGCCGCAAGGUUAAAACUCAAAUGAAUUGACGGGGGCCCGCACAAGCGGUGGAGCAUGUGGUUUAAUUCGAUGCAACGCGAAGAACCUUACCUACUCUUGACAUCCAGAGAACUUUCCAGAGAUGGAUUGGUGCCUUCGGGAACUCUGAGACAGGUGCUGCAUGGCUGUCGUCAGCUCGUGUUGUGAAAUGUUGGGUUAAGUCCCGCAACGAGCGCAACCCUUAUCCUUUGUUGCCAGCGGUUCGGCCGGGAACUCAAAGGAGACUGCCAGUGAUAAACUGGAGGAAGGUGGGGAUGACGUCAAGUCAUCAUGGCCCUUACGAGUAGGGCUACACACGUGCUACAAUGGCAUAUACAAAGAGAAGCGACCUCGCGAGAGCAAGCGGACCUCAUAAAGUAUGUCGUAGUCCGGAUUGGAGUCUGCAACUCGACUCCAUGAAGUCGGAAUCGCUAGUAAUCGUAGAUCAGAAUGCUACGGUGAAUACGUUCCCGGGCCU
Molecule: ribosomal RNA, 1379 nt
Filed under: uncultured bacterium
Lineage: Bacteria
Description: bacterial SSU rRNA
Rfam family: Bacterial small subunit ribosomal RNA
Source: RNAcentral